This 327-nucleotide ribosomal RNA is filed under the name Salmonella enterica subsp. enterica serovar Thompson. Its description in RNAcentral is "partial 23S ribosomal RNA". It matches the Rfam family "Bacterial large subunit ribosomal RNA", at positions 865 to 1190 of the family's 2925-position model. Lineage: Bacteria; Pseudomonadati; Pseudomonadota; Gammaproteobacteria; Enterobacterales; Enterobacteriaceae. RNAcentral also lists the same sequence under 5 other names. The record is from RNAcentral.
GCUAUUUAGGUAGCGCCUCGUGAAUUCAUCUCCGGGGGUAGAGCACUGUUUCGGCUAGGGGGCCAUCCCGGCUUACCAACCCGAUGCAAACUGCGAAUACCGGAGAAUGUUAUCACGGGAGACACACGGCGGGUGCUAACGUCCGUCGUGAAGAGGGAAACAACCCAGACCGCCAGCUAAGGUCCCAAAGUCAUGGUUAAGUGGGAAACGAUGUGGGAAGGCCCAGACAGCCAGGAUGUUGGCUUAGAAGCAGCCAUCAUUUAAAGAAAGCGUAAUAGCUCACUGGUCGAGUCGGCCUGCGCGGAAGAUGUAACGGGGCUAAACCAU